This 3154-nucleotide long non-coding RNA is filed under the name Homo sapiens (human). RNAcentral describes it as "ADAMTS9 antisense RNA 2". The record is from RNAcentral. Lineage: Eukaryota; Metazoa; Chordata; Mammalia; Primates; Hominidae.
GGGCACUCCAGGCUCUGGGCUCAGACGGCUGGCUUCUGCCUACCCGAGCCUUAACCUUUCAAGGACCAGAAGGAUUCCAGAGCUCUUGCCCUAGGUCCUGGGGCAGCGAUGACUCACUGCAGCACCCCCUCCCACUUCGCCAAGCUGCCGUCUCCGCCCACCCCCAAACAAUCUCGACAGCGCAUUUCGGGAGCCACGGCUCCGGGCGCUUUGCUGGGGGCUAAAGGGGUUUAUCCCUUUCCUUGAAUCCCAGCAGGCUAGAACUACCCCCUCCCAGUCUUCAGGCUUGCCACGCUCUCCACCCGAUCCUUCCAUUGAAAGGCAGAGAAGGAAGGAUGUGCUUGGGAACUUUAAGACCCACGAACGACAGCGCACUGAUGGAGCAGCCCAGUGUCUGGGGCAAAGUCCUCGAGGUUCAUUCAUUCAGGAAGCCUCUGACCAGCCUUUACCAUGCGCUGAGUGAGAAGCUGAGGAUAAGGAAAGAGCAAGACCCCCAAGAAACCCUGAUGUCUGGCUGAAAGCCGAAGCAUGACGCAACUUUGCUAUAUUUCUCUCCAACAAGGAUUUGUAUAUUUUCGCUUUCUCCUCAAGUAACACCUGGACCUGCUCCUUUCCCUUCAAACGCUGAGGGCUCAGUCUCCAAGUUCCUUUAUGAAACAGGGUGUACCAUCAGAGACGCAGGUAUUUAUUGAAACCUGCUUUGUGCUGGGCAAUGUGCCAGAUGUUGGGGAUAAAAUGGUGAGCAGACAGAUCCUGUGCCUGUCUUUAUUGAGCUUGGAGCCUAGAGACUUCAGAAAUGAAGAUGCAAAGACAACAGGGGAAACCAUAUAUGUUUAUGGACAGUCAUGCCAAAGUAUGAUUGGAAGACAAAAAGCUAGACCCACCUAAAAGUGAAGUUACAUAUGUGGAUGUUUAUAUGAAGAAUAAAGGACACAAGAAAGGAUUCAAGAAAUGAAAAACGGUGGAGGAAGAUAAACAUUUCAAGAUUCAGAUCACGUUGCUGCCCGAAUUCAGAGUGUCUCUAAGGAAAUAGCUAGAAGGGGUUUUCAACUCUCAGCUUCCUUCCAAGGAAUAAAGAAUUUGCUGUGAGCAAAAAAACUUGCCAAGAAAAUGCCAAUUUGUGUCACACUAACAUCUUUCUUAAGGCUGAACGUGGACUUCGGAAAUGUGAACCUUUGGCUCUGGUGAACACAGUCAGCCUUGAGGGUUUGAAAUUAGGUUCUUCAGAAGGACGGAAGGAAAUCUGAGAGAUCAACUUAGACACCCACUAAUUAGAAAAUGCACCGACACCAGAGACUUGUUUGCAAUGAGUGGUGGGGUCAACCUUUCCAUGGCACCUGACGUGAACUUAGAAAAAUGGAAUCCCUGAAAACGUUUGGAAAUGAUUUUAUCGGAGACAGAGAGAGACAGCAACUGCUGGAGGGAGAAAGAGAGGACAAAAGGCAAACCAAAGUGAGAUGCUGUAAUCGAGAAGACUUGGCGAGAACAAAUGGAAGAACGUUUGAACUUGCUUGUUGCAGACAAAACAACCUUCAAAGGCUACCUUUUUCCUAUUUGAUGGGGUAAAAUUGCUUCCACCAAUGCAUUAUACAUAUUUAAAACUCUCUUUCUGCAUUUAUAAUCUUCAUAGAUGCAGCUUCCUCCAAACUUAGGUAAUGAAUGUAAGAUGAUGCUCCCUUGGGGGUUGUAAAGACAAUCUAAGAACAAGUCAUUUCGGAGUAACAAACUUCACAGCUGGGGAUACUUUCCAUUGCAUAAGGCACCUACCCCUAAAGCUUUCAUUGUUUCACUCUUAGGCAGUUAUGUCAUUAUUUCACUUACCUCAUUGGGGAAAUCAUUGUUUAACAACCAAAUAUAAAUGGGGAAAUAGUCUUCUACUUUAUCUUCUCUAGGAUAACAGCUUCCCUCCCCCACUUCCCUCCACAGAAGGAUUAGUCCCAAAUGGGUGAUGAAUUGCUCUAAACAGUCCAACAAUCCCAGAGAGAGAAAUGAGAAGAAAAAUAACUAGCUGAUUACCAAUAGGGAACAAAUUGGCCACUUGAGAAUUCAGUGGCUAGAAUGACAAAUGAGAAAAUGAAAAUCCUCAUCAAGGGACUAGACUUGCUGAUUAGUCCAAGUGCAGAUGACCACUUCCCAUGCCUCUCCUGCCCUGCUGUGCGAUGAUUUACAUCUGAUUGAACAUUAUUUUUUAUUUGGGACCGGAUUUCUAAAAGGGUGUUUGGAAAACUUUGAAGUACUUAAUUAUAACCAGGAGGCAUUUGGGGGCUGAGCACUGAAAUGGAAGAUGCUCUGUGUUGGGCUUAUGGAAUGUUCAUUUAGGGAAGAACCCAUGUCUGCCUGGUUUGGUCUGGUUUUUCAUUCCAUCACCCCUUAAGGCAGCUUUCCAAGGUUUUCUGGACUCUGGAAGAAAAUAAAAAUGAGAAGCGUAUUCUUGGCCGAGGGAUCCACAUUGAAGGCAGACUCCAGGAUUUCAACAUGUGGAUAGACUGGGCUUUCUGUUAAUCAUCAAUUACUAAAAAUAGAAAUAAUCUGGGACUCCUUUGAAGGGAGACCAUUUUUUAUGAGACUUCAUUUGAACCAAUCUGUCAAGGGAAGUUGGGUAUAUAAUGAACAAUAGACAUUCUUAGUGGUGCUAAGUCAUAUAUGCAUGAAGAAAUAAAACAGGACUGUCAACCAUUAUCCUCCAAGUGGACAUAGUCACAUGAGCUACAGGAAUUAUGAGGAAAAGGGGAGGUGGAGAUUUUGAGUCAGGUGAUCAGGAUAGGAUUCAGAGAGAAAGGGUAAUAGGACUCAGGCCUUGAAGGAGGGAUAGAGCUAUAGUGAUUUCUGGGUGGGAAUCACUUGAAUGAAGAAUAGUACUGAUUUUUUUUUAAAUGAUUUGGUACAGAGUAGAAUGUGUGUCUUAAGCAAAGCGUUUUUCAGUACAGGAAUCUGGAAAGAUGAGACAGAACAUAAAAUUUUACAUGUAUGAAUGGGUCUUUAACACCAGGCAGAGAAUUGGGUUUGAUUCUAAAAGGACCAGAGGUACAUUAAGGAUUCUAAGGCAAGUUAGACUUGUUUUAGAGGUCUAUUUUCCUCAUCUGACAAAAAGAAUCAGCAAAACAGCAUUCUCUGUAACUUUUCCAACAAGUAAAAUCAACAUGUAAGACUGCCA